Long non-coding RNA from Acanthopagrus latus (yellowfin seabream), 1186 nucleotides. RefSeq lists it as uncharacterized. Lineage: Eukaryota; Metazoa; Chordata; Actinopteri; Spariformes; Sparidae. The record is from RefSeq and is a predicted model, not a curated record. The transcript has 2 exons.
AUCUUCUCUGCAAAGAGUUUAACUUUUGACAUGUUAUGGAUCACAGCGAGGCUUAAUAAUACAUUGAAUACUGAUAGACAGUUAUGCUUAACAUUUUUGUAGAAACUUAAGUGACGCACUUUAGAAAGGCGAUUUUCGUCCAAAGCUCUUCUUAAACAUGGUCCGCUAACCUGACGUUAACGACCUUACCAUGUCUGCUGGUUAUAAACUAAUGCAGGGUGUAGUGUUUUUUAUUUGCUAUUACUGUGAAGCCUAUGCGUGCGUACAUACGCGCGGUUGUAGCCAGGGUUUUUGUGUGAGAUAGAAAGCGAAAUUAUGACUUUUGUAUCACAGUUUCGACUUAUUGUCUAAUAAUUGUCACCUUAAUCCAUACCUUUAACUGGCAACUCAUAAUUAAACUCUUUUAUCUCACAAUUGUGACUUUUUAUGUCUUACUUAUUUAUUUUUCCCCAUAGAUUUGCUGUUUCUUACAUCUCAUAACUACAACUAUUUCUCUAAUAAUUAUGACUCAGCAUGGGAAUGAAGCGUAAUGUUGAUAUUGUCCAUUGUACUUUAAUAAUAGUAUUACUUAUACUAUAUGCAUAUUAUAUUUAUUUAGUGUUUAAAACAAUUCCCGGUAAAGAAAACGAAAACUGGAGGAUGCGGGCAUCGAUCCCGCUACCUCUCGCAUGCUAAGCGAGCGCUCUACCAUCUGAGCUAAUCCCCCGUUGUAUACAUAGGUGCACCUAGCCUUGACAAAUAGAGUAUGAAUGGUCAUUCAUAAAAACUUCAGGAAUUGCAAAAAUGUUUAGGUCCAUGACGCCACAAUGUGACGUUUGCAUUUUUUGCUAAUUUAUUCUAGAGUCCUACAGAGAGAGAGAGAGAGAGUGGCGCCACCUUCGUUUAUUGCAGUGGUUCAGUUUUUUCACAGUAAUGGCGGAGCAUGGAGCCCCGCAAAUGUUCCCGGAAGUUAGCUUUCAUUAACUACCGUUCAGUGUAACUCUUAUGGAGCACACGGUCGGAGCAACACUUGACCAAGCAUGAUGGAAGCCUGCUGGAGAGUGUCAGAGCUUCCUUCUCCAACACACCCACUGCAUUUGGAAGCUCUGUGAGGGAGGAACCAGUCUUUGUCCUUCCCUUCCCUUGGUUUUUGCAUUGUUUUUCCUGUUCUGUGUUCUCUGUUUUUAAUUAAAAAAUCUUAAACUUC